Molecule: unclassified non-coding RNA, 3590 nt
Filed under: Harpegnathos saltator (Jerdon's jumping ant)
Lineage: Eukaryota; Metazoa; Arthropoda; Insecta; Hymenoptera; Formicidae
Description: r3H and coiled-coil domain-containing protein 1, transcript variant X3
Source: RNAcentral
AAAUAUAGCGCAGUCGGCUGCGUAGACUCUCAGCGGAGCAGUUUAUUGUGUGAUGUAUACGGCGUUUAUAUAUGCGAUAACAGCUCGGUAAAAUCGAGACCGAGGUCGAAAGACACUUGUGCGCGGCAGGUAGCAGUGAAUGCGUGCCGGCAAUCGCGGGUGCGUCUUCGAGAACGCAAAAACCAGGAACUGAUCCGAUAAAUGAGUUUGCAAGAUAGCCUGUUCGCCGAAGAUGUCGAAGACGACGUGACCAUCUUCGCGAGGAAUAAAACGCGCAAAAGAGUGCUCGUCUUUCCGCCCGUGAACAACUAUCGCCGGUACAUAAUACACCAGCUGGUGCAGGAGCGUUUCUCGGAGCUAUUGCACACCUUCUCGAUCGGCCAAGGCGUGGACAGGCGUACCGUGGUAUGCUACAAGAGCGACUUGAGAAGGGACUGGGAGCCGAAAACGAAUGCCCUUGAGUCGAAAGUGAGUCCUACGGCGAAACAAGUGGACGCGACUCGCAAGAUGGGUGUUGAAGAUCGACGAUCGUCCUCGACGUCUCCGGAACACGCGCAAGUACAGCGACAAGCCAAGUUGGUACCGGCGGUCGAAAUCUACAGGCCACCGGCGGCCAGGAGAGCCAAUAAUUGCUCGCAGGCGAGCGGGACGCAAAUACAGUCGACUGCGGAUUCUCCGUCGGUCAAAAAUACACGGCAAAGGCGGCCUGAUCGAGCGGUUUACAUACCUAGGCACCGUAGGAGUUUGGAAGCCGAAGAAAAGAGGCCACGAAAUCUAAAAUCUUCUUGUACAAAUUACGCCACAUCGAGUAGGGAUCCAAAUACGAAUGACAAUUCUCAAGCACAGGAUGCAUGUUGCAUUCAACAAAGUACAAGCGAUUCGGGCUUAGAUAACAAGUUGCCCGAGAGCCACAGUUCGAAUAUCGAGGAUAAUCGAUUGCCACAGAAGGUACCGGAGAAUAUAGAUUCCGACAAAGUCGUCAAUCAUGAAACAAACGAUGAUGUCGAGUAUACUCGUAAACUGUCGGAAGUGCCGAAGGAAGAUGUGCCAAUUUUACCGGAACAAAUGGAGACCGUGGCGACUAAUAGCCUUAACGAAAGUAAUAAUACUAAUCCCAGUUUAUUAGAGUCGUCCGAUAAAAUUGAAGUCAACGAUCAACAAUUAGAAACGUCGCAGUCAACCGUGACAGAAUGCCAGCCGACAGCGGAGCGUUUGAGUAGCAACAACACGACGAGCGAUCAAAACGAACGACUAGUCAGGCGGAACGUCGUGAUGUCGGACGUGUUGAUAAUUUCCGAUAUUGUCGAGGACAAACCGAAAAACACCGAGCAAGUCCCGGCGAUUUUAACGUCACCUGAAAAGAAAGUGAAAAAGAUCGAGAGACCGAAGAGUAAACCAGCCCCGCCACCUUCUCCGCCUUUGAAAAUAAAUAGAGAUGAGUGCGAUUGGGAUAGUUUGUUCGAUGACAACGGAGAUUGUCUUGAUCCAACGUUGAUAGAGGAGCUUACGUCGGCAGUGGGUGAAGUAAUGGUGGAGCAACCAAAGAAUGAUUACAAGGCGUACACCAAACAGGUCCAAGUGUCCAGCGACGAAUUCGCACACGUUGUAGAGAUUUACAAUUUCCCCUCAGAAUUUAAGACUAGCGAUCUAGCGGCUGUUUUUAGUCCCUUCAGGAACGGUGGCUUUGAACUCAAGUGGGUAGACGACACCCACUGCUUGGGAGUCUUCAGCAGUCCUCUCAUUGCCGCCGAAGUGUUAGCAUCCGAUCAUCCAUUCGUGAAAACGAGACCACUCAGCGAAGCUAGCGCUUUGAGCAAAACGAAGGCGAGAAAAAGCGCGGAAUUUUUGCAACCUUAUAGGAAUCGUCCCGAGACGUGCGCCGCUUUAGCUAGGAGAUUAGUCACAGGUGCGUUGGGUGUGAAGCUCGCUACAGCUAGACAAGAACGCGAGCAUGAAAAGAAUGUACUGCGCGAGGCGAAAGAGAAGAGACGAUUAGCCAACAAACAACGAGAAGAUGUCUGGGAAGGCAUCAUACCUGGGAAGUAGCAUUGCAUCCUAUUAAUAUGAGAGUAUCUAUAAAAAUCAUUUGUGCACUCGGUUCCACGGAUGUUUAUCAUCGAUAGAUCGAUAAUUAUCAAAAGUUUUCGGUCAGCCGCACUGGACUGUAGCUAUAUAUUUCUUACGACUUGAUUAAUAUAGGAAGCAGAUAUGUUCCUGCUUUCGCAAUCGCAGUCACAAAAAAUGUGCAGCUAGAAUCUGAUGUGACUAACUGAAAACUUUUAGCAACUAUCUAUGUAUCUAUGGUAAGAUACCCGCGGGACUGAAUGUAUCUUCUCGUACUACACACUUUAUACAUGUCAUCGCGGUUGCGUAAUUGAUAUAGUUCACAGGAUUCGCGUAGUGUUAUCCUUGCAUCAGCACGGUCAAUGACGCUUAAAGAUGGGCAGGCGGUGAAUGAACGAACAGCGAACGCAAACUUCCGCCGCUGCAGUUGGAAGAUGUGUUUGAUGGGAGUCUAUAAUAGGUCGUUUUAAUGCAAAUUCGAUUUGAUUCGAUUCGUUUACAAAGCGGCACGUUGAUGAAAGUCCAUGUGAACGCCAGUACAAAGAUGUUAUCCCAUAUUAUGUAUGUGCGCUUUUGUUUUCUUAUUCUAAAUCAGUGAUUGUGAUAAACCUUAUCUCUAAAAUGAUCAAUACGGUGAGCAUUAUUAUAUGAGCAUCCUUUAUUUAAAAAGGCCUUUUAUGUCGCUGCUCUGUCCUUUGGAUUUGUUUUUCUAAAAUGGCCAUUUGUCUUUUAUUUUAUCCGAAGGAUAUACUCUUCGUAUCAAUAUGUGAAGAAACGAACGCCCAAACACCAUCGUUCGUUGUUCAUUCGUUCAGCACAUGCUCGCCUUGAGGUUGCAGGCGCUCUCGUGAAACGUCUGCACAUACAGUUGUGCCUUACUUAUUUAUCUUUUACGUUAUAGUUAGAAAUAAAGACAAUUUAUCAGACACACAACUUAUAUGCAUAUAUAAAUUCGCUAAUUUACCAAUGCGUCGAUUCUGACUCAUCCGCGAUGAUUUAUCUAUUUCUCUCGGUAGACGAUUCGACAUACAACUUUAAGUUCAAUAUACAGAUAUUGCGAUUGUUAAAUAUCUGAUUACUUAGAAUAUCGAAUAAUUAUCCUUUACUACUUGUAAGACGAUAACACUUUACGAGUAAUAUUUUGUAAACGUAUCACGAAGAAAAAAAUACUCAGAGCCGGAAAUAUUAACGGUAGCAUGAACGCCUUCCGAUGCGAAAGUGUAAGUUUUUUUUACUGAUGUGAAAACAAAACCGACGUGUUAGCACAGCUCGCACUCGUAACAUUUUAGAAAAUUGUAAACUGAGAUGUUAUUAUCUCGAUGGCUGUCACAGUGUUGAGUUUACGCGCGACAAACGAGUGAUAAUGUGUGGUGCAGUUUAAUUGCGAGACAAUAAGUUGUAAGAGGCGAUACUUUCACGACAUACAACGAUUCAUCACGUAGCGAUAUAUCAAAAUACAUCUUUGCAUGAUCUUGUACAGUCCAACGGCGGAACUUGAUAUAACUUUAUCAAAAAAAUGGUGGCAU